This 433-nucleotide ribosomal RNA is filed under the name uncultured bacterium. Its description in RNAcentral is "partial 16S ribosomal RNA". It matches the Rfam family "Bacterial small subunit ribosomal RNA", at positions 29 to 507 of the family's 1533-position model. The record is from RNAcentral.
AACGAACGCUGGCGGCAUGCCUAACACAUGCCAGUCGAACGAGACCUUCGGGUCUAGUGGCGCACGGGUGCGUAACGCGUGGGAACCUGCCCUUAGGUUCGGAAUAACUCCCCGAAAGGGGUGCUAAUACCGGAUAAUGUCUUCGGACCAAAGAUUUAUCGCCUUUGGAUGGGCCCGCGUUGGAUUAGCUAGUUGGUAGGGUAAAAGCCUACCAAGGCGACGAUCCAUAGCUGGUCUGAGAGGAUGAUCAGCCACACUGGGACUGAGACACGGCCCAGACUCCUACGGGAGGCAGCAGUGGGGAAUAUUGGACAAUGGGCGAAAGCCUGAUCCAGCAAUGCCGCGUGAGUGAUGAAGGCCUUAGGGUUGUAAAUCUCUUUUACCCGGGAUGAUAAUGACAGUACCGGGAGAAUAAGCUCCGGCUAACUCCGUG